Long non-coding RNA from Condylura cristata (star-nosed mole), 266 nucleotides. RefSeq lists it as uncharacterized. NCBI's taxonomy places the organism in Eukaryota, Metazoa, Chordata, Mammalia, Eulipotyphla, Talpidae. The transcript is spliced from 3 exons. The record is from RefSeq and is a predicted model, not a curated record.
CGCCCCCCAGCCUGCUGCCCCUGGAGGAGCGGGCGGCCCACUUCCGAGACAUGCUCCUGGAACGCCGGGUGUCUGCCUUCUCCACCUGGGAGAAAGAGCUGCAUAAAACUGUGUUCGACCCCCGCUACCUGCUGCUGAACUCCGGGGAGCGGAAGCAGGUGUUCGAGCAGUUUGCCAAGACCAGAGUCAGAGAGGAGCGCAAGGAGAGGCGGAGCAGGCUGCUGCGCGCCAAGCAGGCCUUCCGGGAGCUCCUGGGGGAGUCGAAG